GAUGAACGCUGGCGGCGUGCCUAAUACAUGCAAGUCGAGCGAACAGACGAGGAGCUUGCUCCUCUGACGUUAGCGGCGGACGGGUGAGUAACACGUGGAUAACCUACCUAUAAGACUGGGAUAACUUCGGGAAACCGGAGCUAAUACCGGAUAAUAUAUUGAACCGCAUGGUUCAAUAGUGAAAGACGGUUUUGCUGUCACUUAUAGAUGGAUCCGCGCCGCAUUAGCUAGUUGGUAAGGUAACGGCUUACCAAGGCAACGAUGCGUAGCCGACCUGAGAGGGUGAUCGGCCACCCUGGAACUGGGACACGGUCCAGACUCCUACGGGAGGCAGCAGUAGGGAAUCUUCCGCAAAGGGCGAAAGCCUGACGGAGCAACGCCGCGUGAGUGAUGAAGGUCUUCGGAUCGUAAAACUCUGUUAUUAGGGAAGAACAAAUGUGUAAGUAACUAUGCCCGUCUUGACGGUACCUAAUCAGAAAGCCACGGCUAACUACGUG
This 497-nucleotide ribosomal RNA is filed under the name uncultured bacterium. Its description in RNAcentral is "partial 16S ribosomal RNA". It matches the Rfam family "Bacterial small subunit ribosomal RNA", at positions 28 to 507 of the family's 1533-position model. The record is from RNAcentral.